RNAcentral lists this ribosomal RNA (403 nucleotides) under bacterium. RNAcentral's name for it is "partial 16S ribosomal RNA". It matches the Rfam family "Bacterial small subunit ribosomal RNA", at positions 355 to 776 of the family's 1533-position model. The record is from RNAcentral.
UGGGGAAUAUUGCACAAUGGAGGGAACUCUGAUGCAGCGACGCCGCGUGAACGAAGAAGGCUUUCGCGUCGUAAAGUUCUUUUAUAUGGGAAGAUAAUGACGGUGCCAUAAGAAGAAGCCCCGGCUAACUACGUGCCAGCAGCCGCGGUAAUACGUAGGGGGCUAGCGUUGUCCGGAAUCACUGGGCGUAAAGGGUUCGCAGGCGGAAAUGCAAGUCAGGUGUAAAAGGCAGUAGCUUAACUACUGUAAGCAUUUGAAACUGCAUAUCUUGAGAAGAGUAGAGGUAAGUGGAAUUUUUAGUGUAGCGGUGAAAUGCGUAGAUAUUAAAAAGAAUACCGGUGGCGAAGGCGACUUACUGGGCUCAUUCUGACGCUGAGGAACGAAAGCGUGGGUAGCAAACAGG